AGAGUUUGAUCCUGGCUCAGGAUGAACGCUAGCUACAGGCUUAACACAUGCAAGUCGAGGGGCAGCAUGUUGGUUGCUUGCAACCAACGAUGGCGACCGGCGCACGGGUGAGUAACGCGUAUCCAACCUACCCUUGUCCAUCGGAUAACCCGUCGAAAGGCGGCCUAACACGAUAUGCGGUUCACAGCAGGCAUCUAACGUGAACGAAAUGUGAAGGAGAAGGAUGGGGAUGCGUCUGAUUAGCUUGUUGGCGGGGUAACGGCCACCAAGGCUACGAUCAGUAGGGGUUCUGAGAGGAAGGUCCCCCANAUUGGAACUGAGACACGGUCCAAACUCCUACGGAAGGCA
This 348-nucleotide ribosomal RNA is filed under the name uncultured bacterium. Its description in RNAcentral is "bacterial SSU rRNA". It matches the Rfam family "Bacterial small subunit ribosomal RNA", at positions 8 to 350 of the family's 1533-position model. The record is from RNAcentral.